This 372-nucleotide unclassified non-coding RNA is filed under the name uncultured Gammaproteobacteria bacterium. RNAcentral describes it as "contains 16S-23S intergenic spacer region". The record is from RNAcentral. Lineage: Bacteria; Pseudomonadati; Pseudomonadota; Gammaproteobacteria.
UCCGGUUUGUCACCGGCAGUCUCAUUAAAGUGCCCUUACGUAGCAAUUAAUGACAAGGGUUGCGCUCGUUGCGGGACUUAACCCAACAUCUCACGACACGAGCUGACGACAGCCAUGCAGCACCUGUGUUCAGGUUCUCUUUCGAGCACUUUCACCUUUCAGCAAAAUUCCUGACAUGUCAAGGGUAGGUAAGGUUUUUCGCGUUGCAUCGAAUUAAUCCACAUCAUCCACCGCUUGUGCGGGUCCCCGUCAAUUCCUUUGAGUUUUAAUCUUGCGACCGUACUCCCCAGGCGGUGUACUUCACGCGUUAGCUGCGUUACCAAGCCCGUAAAGGCCCAACAACUAGUACACAUCGUUUAGGGCGUGGACUAC